GGCUACAAAAUCUUUAAGAUAAGAAAUUUUUAAUUUUUUUAAGGGGCAUCUCCUGUAGCCA
RNAcentral lists this transfer RNA (61 nucleotides) under Tigriopus japonicus. RNAcentral describes it as "tRNA-Lys". The record is from RNAcentral. Lineage: Eukaryota; Metazoa; Arthropoda; Copepoda; Harpacticoida; Harpacticidae.